Molecule: transfer RNA, 67 nt
Filed under: Licmophora paradoxa
Lineage: Eukaryota; Bacillariophyta; Fragilariophyceae; Licmophorales; Licmophoraceae
Rfam family: tRNA
About the family: Transfer RNA (tRNA) molecules are approximately 80 nucleotides in length. Their secondary structure includes four short double-helical elements and three loops (D, anti-codon, and T loops). Further hydrogen bonds mediate the characteristic L-shaped molecular structure. tRNAs have two regions of fundamental functional importance: the anti-codon, which is responsible for specific mRNA codon recognition, and the 3' end, to which the tRNAs corresponding amino acid is attached (by aminoacyl-tRNA synthetases). tRNAs cope with the degeneracy of the genetic code in two manners: having more than one tRNA (with a specific anti-codon) for a particular amino acid; and 'wobble' base-pairing, i.e. permitting non-standard base-pairing at the 3rd anti-codon position.
Source: RNAcentral
GGGUGUCGCCAAGUGGUCAAGGCAGUGGGUUGUGUUUCCACCUUUCGUCGGUUCAAGUCCGAUCACU